Molecule: transfer RNA, 67 nt
Filed under: Empoascanara gracilis
Lineage: Eukaryota; Metazoa; Arthropoda; Insecta; Hemiptera; Cicadellidae
Description: tRNA-Ala
Source: RNAcentral
AGGGUUGUAUUUAUAUUAAUAAUAUCUGUUUUGCAUUCAGAAGAUGCUAUUUAGUUUGCCUACCUUA